UGGAAGAGAAGGCAAUACUGGUUUUGGGAGUGAUGGCAAUUCGGGUACUUUGGGAAGUUCUGGUUUAGGAAUAUUUGGUAAUUCGGGCAAUUUAGGGAGUUCUGGUUUUGGUAAGUUUGGUAGUUCAGGUAGUUUUGGGAGUUCAGGUUUUGGUAGAUGAUCGGGAACUUCAGCAAGUUUAGGGAGAUCAAACUUAGGCAUGGUUGGAAUUUCAGGAACUUUGGAGUGAUCAAAGUUAGGUACUUUUGGUAAUUCAGGCAACUUUGGAAGUUCAGGCUUUGGCAAUUCAGGGACUUUAGGCUUUUCUAGAGGUGGAAGAUGAGGCAGUGGAGGUAACUCAACUUUCGGUAGUGGAGGAAGCUCUGACUUUGGCAAAGUGGGUAUUUCAGGCUUUGGAAGCCCUUCAGGUCCAUGAGGUAUUGGCGUCUCCAAGAGAUGCCUUGCGCUCACUGACAUAAUAAGAAAAUCAAAGCUCAUGGUGACUAUAAGAAUACCAAGUACCAAAGAAGCUUUAAGGGUUGAUAAGGGACGA
RNAcentral lists this long non-coding RNA (532 nucleotides) under Cucumis sativus (cucumber). RNAcentral describes it as "long non-coding RNA (CSAT_LNC002657)". The record is from RNAcentral. Lineage: Eukaryota; Viridiplantae; Streptophyta; Magnoliopsida; Cucurbitales; Cucurbitaceae.